CGGCAACAGCUCAAAUUUGAAAUCUGGCUCUUCUAGGGUCCGAGUUGUAAUUUGUAGAAGAUGCUUCGGGUGUGGCUCCGGUCUAAGUUCCUUGGAACAGGACGUCAUAGAGGGUGAGAAUCCCGUACGGUUGGAUGCCUAGCCUCUGUGAAACUCCUUCGAC
Molecule: ribosomal RNA, 163 nt
Filed under: Helotiales sp.
Lineage: Eukaryota; Fungi; Ascomycota; Leotiomycetes; Helotiales
Description: partial large subunit ribosomal RNA
Rfam family: Eukaryotic large subunit ribosomal RNA
Source: RNAcentral